GACGUAGGGGGCGAGCGUUGUCCGGAUUUAUUGGGCGUAAAGCGCGCGUAGGCGGUUCGUUAAGUCGGGUGUGAAAACCCGGGGCUCAACCCCGGGCCUGCAUCCGAUACUGGCGGACUCGAGGCAGACAGGGGAGAGUGGAAUUCCCGGUGUAGCGGUGAAAUGCGCAGAUAUCGGGAGGAACACCGGUGGCGAAGGCGGCUCUCUGGGUCUGUCCUGACGCUCAGGCGCGAAAGCUAGGGGAGCAAACAGGAUUAGAUACCCUGGUAGUCCUAGCCGUAAACGUUGGGUGCUAGGUGUGGGGCGGCGUUCGACCCGCUCCGUGCCGAAGCUAACGCAUUAAGCACCCCGCCUGGGGAGUACGGCCGCAAGGCUAAA
RNAcentral lists this ribosomal RNA (378 nucleotides) under uncultured bacterium. RNAcentral describes it as "bacterial SSU rRNA". It matches the Rfam family "Bacterial small subunit ribosomal RNA", at positions 524 to 898 of the family's 1533-position model. The record is from RNAcentral.